This 287-nucleotide ribosomal RNA is filed under the name uncultured bacterium. Its description in RNAcentral is "partial 16S ribosomal RNA". It matches the Rfam family "Bacterial small subunit ribosomal RNA", at positions 775 to 1067 of the family's 1533-position model. The record is from RNAcentral.
GGAUUAGAUACCCUGGUAGUCCACGCCGUAAACUAUGAUUACUCGAUAUUGGCGAUAUACAGUCAGUGUCUAAGCGAAAGUGCUAAGUAAUCCACCUGGGGAGUACGGUCGCAAGAUUGAAACUCAAAGGAAUUGACGGGGGCCCGCACAAGCGGUGGAGCAUGUGGUUUAAUUCGAUGAUACGCGAGGAACCUUACCAGGGCUUAAAUGCAGUCUGCCCGGUGUGGAAACACACCUUUCUUCGGACAGAUUGCAAGGUGCUGCAUGGCUGUCGUCAGCUCGUGUUG